CCUACGGGAGGCAGCAGUCGAGAAUCAUUCACAAUGGGGGAAACCCUGAUGGUGCGACGCCGCGUGGGGGAAUGAAGGUCUUCGGAUUGUAAACCCCUGUCAUGUGGGAGCAAAUUAAAAAGAUAGUACCACAAGAGGAAGAGACGGCUAACUCUGUGCCAGCAGCCGCGGUAAUACAGAGGUCUCAAGCGUUGUUCGGAAUCACUGGGCGUAAAGCGUACGUAGGCUGUUUCGUAAGUCGUGUGUGAAAGGCGCGGGCUCAACCCGCGGACGGCACAUGAUACUGCGAGACUAGAGUAGUGGAGGGGGAACCGGAAUUCUCGGUGUAGCAGUGAAAUGCGUAGAUAUCGAGAGGAACACUCGUGGCGAAGGCGGGUUCCUGGACAUUAACUGACGCUGAGGCACGAAGGCCAGGGGAGCGAAAGGGAUUAGAUACCCGGGUAGUG
This 446-nucleotide ribosomal RNA is filed under the name uncultured bacterium. Its description in RNAcentral is "partial 16S ribosomal RNA". It matches the Rfam family "Bacterial small subunit ribosomal RNA", at positions 338 to 795 of the family's 1533-position model. The record is from RNAcentral.